Molecule: ribosomal RNA, 412 nt
Filed under: uncultured bacterium
Lineage: Bacteria
Description: bacterial SSU rRNA
Rfam family: Bacterial small subunit ribosomal RNA
Source: RNAcentral
UUAUGUAGCAAUACAUGAAGAGUGGCGUAAGGGAGAGUAAUGCAUGGUUAGCUACCCUCGGGACUGGGAUAGCGGCGGGAAACUGCCGGUAAUACCAGAUGACAUCUUCGGAUCAAACGUGUAAACCGGCCCGCGGAAGUGACCAUGUCCUAUCAGCUAGUUGGCGGUGUAACGGACCACCAAGGCAAAGACGGGUAUGGGGCGUGAGAGCGUGCCCCCACUCACUGGGACUGAGACACUGCCCAGACACCUACGGGUGGCUGCAGUCGAGAAUCUUCGGCAAUGGGCGCAAGCCUGACCGAGCGACGCCGCGUGCGGGAUGAAGGCCUUCGGGUUGUAAACCGCUGUCGUAGGGGAGGAAGGUUUGGUGUAUAGCCAAGCUUGACCGAUCCUAGGAGGAAGGACCGGCUAA